This is a long non-coding RNA of Corticium candelabrum, 1574 nucleotides long. RefSeq lists it as uncharacterized. The record is from RefSeq and is a predicted model, not a curated record. NCBI's taxonomy places the organism in Eukaryota, Metazoa, Porifera, Homoscleromorpha, Homosclerophorida, Plakinidae. The transcript has 9 exons.
UGUGGCAUUGUCGGACACUGGUGGUUCCGGUGGUUUUGGGAGCUUUGGGCACAGUGCACGUAGGUAUUGCACGGUGGCUGGACAUUAUUCCAGGUCAUCACAACCUGCAGCACUUACAGAAAACAGUGCUUCUGGGAUCUACUCGGAUCCUUUGUAAAGUUAUGUCUUCUUUCUAGACAGCCGUGAUGGUCUAAGUACUUCUGAAGCAGGGUUUGCUUCCGGUACUUGUAAUAGACUUUACAAACCACACUGAUCUGGUUGAGCACGACACAUAAUAAUAAUGAUCAAUACUGGGAACCGGCUUCCACAGAAUGGAAACUUUACGGUCAACUUGAACAGCGGAAAGAUCAGAUCGACAGAAGUGACGUCACUGACAGGAAAGCAAUUGGAUCAGGAGAAUUUGGCGUUGUAGAGAAAGCAGUGUGGAAAGUGCAUGAUGGAAAGAAGCUGGCAGUCGCGGUCAAGAGUCUGACAAAUGAAGCCAAUGCUGAUGACCGCGUCAAAUUUCUUCAUGAGGCAGCAAUUAAUGGUCAAUUUCUCCAUCAAAAUAUCGUUCGUCUCUAUGGCCUUGUCACCGUUGGAUCUCCGAUAAUGUCGGUUUCGGAAUACAUGGAAAAUGGUGAUCUCAAACACUACCUUGAGGAACAGAGACCAGAGCGUAGCGGACAGUGUUGCUUUUGGGUUUUAAGAAAACGCUACUGAAAAUGUUUCGUGAUAUCGCAAAUGGAAAGGAAUAUUUUUCACGCAAGUAUUUUGUUUACAGAGAUUUGGCUGCAAAAAAACAUUUUAGUGAACAAAGAGCUGACUUGCAAGAUUGCAGAUUUUGGCAUGGCACGUGACGUGUCUGACGACAGCUGCUACACGACAAAAAGGCGAGAAAGUCUCAAUAAGAUGGCUUUGAAUUAUAACCAAUAUUCGUCUGCCAGUGACGUGUGAAGCUGUGGAAUUGUCCUCUUUGAAACGUGGUCAUUAGCACUACGUCCUUACAAUCAGAUGACAAACAACGAGGUUGCUAUUUGUGGUUAAAAGCAAUCGCAAAAUAAUUUUUUUACAAAUAGCAGUUAUAUAAUCUGAAUGACUGUUAUACGGCACAGGUGAUAAAUAGGGUUGAUCUUGGAUAUCGCCUUCCUCCCCUCCGGGAUGUUCUCGUUCUCUUUAUCAUCUCAUGAUUGACUGCAUCCAUAUUCCUAUGAAAGACUGAGUUUUGGAAACAUCGUACAGAGGCUUCGACUGUCUGACGAAUGUCUUUUGACUAACAGAGAAGAAGAGGAAGGGAUUGAAGGAAACCUCGGAGACAAGCUGGACGUGUCAGAAAACUGCUACACAGACUUGCAACACAUCUAUACAAAAUACUUAUUGUGAAACAUCGUAUAUAAACUGGUACGCAAUGUGUGAAUGGAUCUUGUAAAACUUUGCUAUUUUUGCUACUGAAUAAUGGGCACUAAAACUAACUAGUGCACUAUUAGUAUUGUAUCUACAAUUGGACAUUAUCCAGUUGAAUGAAUUAUUCGUUUAGUUUGCCGAUUAGCUUGAUUUUUGCUAGAAAAGUUUGCAUUUUACGACAACCUAUUACA